GCGGGUAAUAACGUAGGGGGCAAAGCGUUGUCCCGGAAUUAUUUGGGCGUAAAGCGCGCGCAGGGCGGUCCUUUAAGUCUGAUGUGAAAGCCCACGGCUCAACCCGUGGAGGGUCAUUGGAAACUGGAGGACUUGAGUACAGAAGAGGAGAGUGGAAUUUCCACGUGUAGCGGUGAAAUGCGUAGAGAUGUGGAGGAACACCAGUGGCGAAGGCGACUCUCUGGUCUGUAACUGACGCUGAGGCGCGAAAGCGUGGGGAGCGAACAGGAUUAGAUACCCUGGUAGUCCACGCCGUAAACGAUGAGUGCUAGGUGUUAGGGGGUUUCCGCCCCUUAGUGCUGAAGUUAACGCAUUAAGCACUCCGCCUGGGGAGUACGGCCGCAAGGCUGAAACUCAAAAGAAUUGACGGGGGCCCGCACAAGCGGUGGAGCAUGUGGUUUAAUUCGACGCAACGCGAAGAACCUUACCAGGUCUUGACAUCCUCUGCAAUCGGUAGAGAUACCGAGUUCCCUUCGGGGACAGAGUGACAGGUGGUGCAUGGUUGUCGUCAGCUCGUGUCGUGAGAUGUUGGGUUAAGUCCCGCAACGAGCGCAACCCUUGAUCUUAGUUGCCAGCAUUUAGUUGGGCACUCUAAGGUGACUGCCGGUGACAAACCGGAGGAAGGUGGGGAUGACGUCAAAUCAUCAUGCCCCUUAUGACCUGGGCUACACACGUGCUACAAUGGAUGGAACAAAGGGAAGCAAAACCGCGAGGUCAAGCAAAUCCCAUAAAACCAUUCUCAGUUCGGAUUGCAGGCUGCAACUCGCCUGCAUGAAGCCGGAAUCGCUAGUAAUCGCGGAUCAGCAUGCCGCGGUGAAUACGUUCCCGGGCCUUGUACACACCGCCCGUCACACCACGAGAGUUGGUAACACCCGAAGUCGGUGAGGUAAC
Molecule: ribosomal RNA, 930 nt
Filed under: Virgibacillus halodenitrificans
Lineage: Bacteria; Bacillati; Bacillota; Bacilli; Caryophanales; Bacillaceae
Description: bacterial SSU rRNA
Rfam family: Bacterial small subunit ribosomal RNA
Source: RNAcentral